RNAcentral lists this long non-coding RNA (437 nucleotides) under Helianthus annuus (common sunflower). RNAcentral describes it as "sRNA HanXRQr2_Chr14g0653691". The record is from RNAcentral. Lineage: Eukaryota; Viridiplantae; Streptophyta; Magnoliopsida; Asterales; Asteraceae.
GGGCAGUUGUGUACGCUCCCAUGGUUUGCGGCCUAUCUUCUCCACUACGCACGGUUACUAUGAAACUGGGAACGUGGGUAGACAGUUAAAUUACACUGCACUUAUAAAAACCCUCACCUUAUCUCGUGGUCUCCUCAUUCCGUAGAAACCGUCAUCCUUGUAUGAGAAUUUCAGGUGCAAUCGCCAAUCGAGGAGGUUUUUGGCAGUUCAAGGAUAUCCGCUCCAUUCCCCAUCACAGUGGCACCGGAUUCUCAAAAAGAAAAAAUCCAGUCCAAGUUCAGAGCUAUGGUUAGGGUUACACCACAGUUGAAAGUUAAAGGAAGGUGAUUGGAACCUUUGUAAUCAACCGAUUAAUGUAAAUCAUGGACCUUUCGAAGAUUGAAGAGAAUUUGUUCUCAUUUGGUGAACCAAAGAAUGUAAAUCGUCUCGUAUUUUGA